AGAGCGAAUGCUGGCGGCAGGCCUAACACAUGCAAGUCGAGCGCCCGUAGCAAUACGGGAGCGGCAGACGGGAUAGUAACACGUGGGAACGCGCCCUUCGGUUCGGAAUAACUCAGGGAAACUUGAGCUAAUACCGGAUACGCCCUUACGGGGAAAGAUUUAUUGCCGAAGGAACGGCCCGCGUCCGAUUAGCUAGUUGGUGAGGUAAUGGCUCACCAAGGCGACGAUCGGUAGCUGGUCUGAGAGGAUGACCAGCAUCACUGGGACUGAGACACGGCCCAGACUCCUACGGGAGGCAGCAGUGGGGAAUAUUGGACAAUGGGCGCAAGCCUGAUCCAGCCAUGCCGCGUGGAUGAUGAAGGCCUUCGGGUUGUAAACCCCUUUCAGCAGGGACGAAGCGAGAGUGACGGUACCUGCAGAAGAAGCGCCGGCUAACUACGCGCCAGCAGCCGC
RNAcentral lists this ribosomal RNA (453 nucleotides) under uncultured bacterium. RNAcentral describes it as "SSU rRNA". It matches the Rfam family "Bacterial small subunit ribosomal RNA", at positions 26 to 518 of the family's 1533-position model. The record is from RNAcentral.